Molecule: non-coding RNA, 348 nt
Organism: Manis javanica (Malayan pangolin)
Lineage: Eukaryota; Metazoa; Chordata; Mammalia; Pholidota; Manidae
Source: RefSeq, a predicted model, not a curated record
CACUGCUCCUGGGGGUGUCUCUUGCUCUUAGCGGAGCGCGCUGGUCACCCAGUUGCAGCCGCUGCUCACGGCUGAAAGGGCAGUUCACCCUGGCUCCGGCAUGGUACUGUCGUUCCUAGCAGGUUAGAUUUCCCCCGGGAGAAAGAAUCCAGGUUCAUAUGCUAUAGAAAUUUCUGCUUUCCCUUUGUGCUCUGCUGCCUGGUUCAACUGAGGAUACUCGUUUCACUUCUGAAAUGUAUUCUGCUUUGACCUACUCCUAAGGCCUGGUGGGUCACCUGGUGAGCAUAGAAACAAAAGAGGUAACUACAGUCUUGAUCUAUAUUGCAUAUGAAUAUAUCAACACACAAG